UACGGAGGGCGCGAGCGUUAAUCGGAAUUACUGGGCGUAAAGCGCGCGUAGGCUGUUGUGUAAGUUGGGGGUGAAAUCCCACGGCUCAACCGUGGAACAGCCCUUGAUACUGCGCGACUUGAAUCCGGGAGAGGGUGGCGGAAUUCCAGGUGUAGGAGUGAAAUCCGUAGAUAUCUGGAGGAACAUCAGUGGCGAAGGCGGCCACCUGGACGGGUAUUGACGCUGAGGCGCGAAAGCGUGGGGAGCAAACAGG
Molecule: ribosomal RNA, 253 nt
Filed under: uncultured bacterium
Lineage: Bacteria
Description: partial 16S ribosomal RNA
Rfam family: Bacterial small subunit ribosomal RNA
Source: RNAcentral